RNAcentral lists this ribosomal RNA (470 nucleotides) under uncultured bacterium. RNAcentral's name for it is "bacterial SSU rRNA". It matches the Rfam family "Bacterial small subunit ribosomal RNA", at positions 335 to 799 of the family's 1533-position model. The record is from RNAcentral.
ACUCCUACGGGAGGCAGCAGUAGGGAAUUUUCCGCAAUGGACGAAAGUCUGACGGAGCAAUGCCGCGUGAGUGAUGAAGGUUUUCGAAUCGUAAAGCUCUGUUGUAAGGGAAGAAUAGACAAGAAUAGGAAUGAUUCUUGUCUGACGUACCUUACCAGAAAGCCACGGCUAACUACGUGCCAGCAGCCGCGGUAAUACGUAGGUGGCAAGCGUUAUCCGGAAUUAUUGGGCGUAAAGCGCAUGUAGGCGGCUCUUUAAGUCUGAUGUGAAAGCCUGUGGCUCAACCACAGAAUUGCAUUGGAUACUGGAGAGCUAGAAUCUUGGAGAGGUAAGUGGAAUUUCAUGUGUAGCGGUGGAAUGCGUAGAUAUAUGAAGGAACACCAAUGGCGAAGGCAGCUUACUGGACAAGUAUUGACGCUGAGAUGCGAAAGUGUGGUAGCAAACAGGAUUAGAUACCCUGGUAGGCUCUG